GGCGGACGGGUGAGUAAUACUUAGGAAUCUGCCCAAUAGUGGGGGACAACUCGGUGAAAACCGAGCUAAUACCGCAUACGCCCUACGGGGGAAAGCGGGGGAUCUUCGGACCUCGCGCUAUUGGAUGAGCCUAAGUCGGAUUAGCUUGUUGGUGGGGUAAAGGCCUACCAAGGCGACGAUCCGUAGCUGGUCUGAGAGGACGAUCAGCCACACUGGGACUGAGACACGGCCCAGACUCCUACGGGAGGCAGCAGUGGGGAAUAUUGGACAAUGGGCGAAAGCCUGAUCCAGCAAUGCCGCGUGUGUGAAGAAGGCCUGCGGGUUGUAAAGCACUUUC
This 337-nucleotide ribosomal RNA is filed under the name uncultured Ectothiorhodospiraceae bacterium. RNAcentral's name for it is "bacterial SSU rRNA". It matches the Rfam family "Bacterial small subunit ribosomal RNA", at positions 97 to 437 of the family's 1533-position model. Lineage: Bacteria; Pseudomonadati; Pseudomonadota; Gammaproteobacteria; Chromatiales; Ectothiorhodospiraceae. The record is from RNAcentral.